Molecule: ribosomal RNA, 497 nt
Filed under: uncultured bacterium
Lineage: Bacteria
Description: partial 16S ribosomal RNA
Rfam family: Bacterial small subunit ribosomal RNA
Source: RNAcentral
GAUGAACGCUGGCGGCGUGCCUAAUACAUGCAAGUCGAGCGAACGGACGAGAAGCUUGCUUCUCUGAUGUUAGCGGCGGACGGGAGAGUAACACGUGGAUAACCUACCUAUAAGACUGGGAUAACUUCGGGAAACCGGAGCUAAUACCGGAUGAUAUUUUGAACCGCAUGGUUCAAAAGUGAAAGACGGUCUUGCUGUCUCUUAUAGAUGGAUCCGCGCUGCAUGAGCUAGUUGGUAAGGUAACGGCUUACCAAGGGAACGAUGCGUAGCCGACGUGAGAGAGUGAUAGGCGACCCUGGAAGGGAGACACGGUCCAGGGUACUGAGGGAGGCAGCAGACGCGUAUGUGAGGCAGUGGGCGAGAGUCUGGCGGAGCGAGGCGGAGUGUGAGGUGGAGGUGUUGGGAUCGUAAAGCUGUGUUUUGGGGUAAGAACAGAUGUGUAAGUAGCUGUGCACAGCUUGACGGUAACGAGUAAGAAAGCCACGGCUAACUACGUG